This 116-nucleotide transfer RNA is filed under the name Methanobacteriota archaeon. RNAcentral describes it as "Euryarchaeota archaeon (sediment metagenome) tRNA-Leu". The record is from RNAcentral. Lineage: Archaea; Methanobacteriati; Methanobacteriota.
GCGGGGGUAGCCAAGCUAGGACAACGGCGCCGGACUUAAGAUCCGGUCUCGCAGGAGUCCAUGGGUUCAAAAGCGUCGUGCGGAAUCGCGCGGAGCGGGAACUCCCAUCCCCCGCA